UGGCUGAGAUGGUAAAGCAUCUGCCUGCAAUGUGGGAGACCAGGGUUCGAUCCCUG
This 56-nucleotide transfer RNA is filed under the name Bos taurus (domestic cattle). It matches the Rfam family "tRNA", at positions 8 to 63 of the family's 71-position model. From Rfam's summary of the family: Transfer RNA (tRNA) molecules are approximately 80 nucleotides in length. Lineage: Eukaryota; Metazoa; Chordata; Mammalia; Artiodactyla; Bovidae. The record is from Rfam by way of RNAcentral. RNAcentral also lists the same sequence under 2 other names.